This 339-nucleotide RNase P RNA is filed under the name Flavobacteriales bacterium. RNAcentral describes it as "RNase P RNA component class A". It matches the Rfam family "Bacterial RNase P class A". Rfam says of the family: Ribonuclease P (RNase P) is a ubiquitous endoribonuclease, found in archaea, bacteria and eukarya as well as chloroplasts and mitochondria. Its best characterised activity is the generation of mature 5'-ends of tRNAs by cleaving the 5'-leader elements of precursor-tRNAs. Cellular RNase Ps are ribonucleoproteins. Lineage: Bacteria; Pseudomonadati; Bacteroidota; Flavobacteriia; Flavobacteriales. RNAcentral also lists the same sequence under 1 other name. The record is from RNAcentral.
GAGAUUAACUGGAUAACUGCUUUUUAAAAGAGGAAAGUCCGAACUCCACAGGGUAAAAAUGCCUCUUAAUUAGAGGGCCUAUUUUUUAUAGGUAGGAAAGUGCAACAGAAAGUAUACCGCCUUAGGGUAAGGGUGAAAAGGUAGUGUAAGAGACUACCAGUGGUAUUCUAAAGAAUAUUAGCUAUGUAAACCCCAUUUGGAGCAAGACCAAGUAAUCAUGUGUUGCCCGCACAAUAUGAUAGGUAGGUUGCUAGAGUUAAGUUGUGAAGCUUAACCAAGAUGAAUAGUUAUCAGCUCAUUUAUGAGUUACAGAAUUCGGCUUAUAGGUUAAUCUCAAAA